AUGAUGACCCAAUUGAAAUUUCUGUCGUGAAAAAUGGCACCUGUGUAACCAUUUUAUGGAAAAUCAGGAUUUUAUGGAAAUCAGGCUUAAACAGUUAGCGUUAUUUAUUAGCGCAAUACAGCAAGGAAAUGUUUACAUUAUUGAAUCCAUUGCUAUAUUUUCAACAGAUUCUAGAAAAAACAGAACCAGAAUUUCUGCAAUUUAAGAAUGAAAGACAAACAUGGUUACGGCCUGUAAAACUUCAACAGUUGCUGGAUACAAAGUCACAACAUUCAGAUUCUAAAUUGAUUGUAGGGAAUACAGAAGUAGGUGUGGAAAUGAAAUUUAAAGGAAUGAGGUAUCCUGUUAUAAUAUCUUGCUCGCAAGUACCUGAACUGAAUGAGUUGCAUUUGGACGAUGAGGGCGUCAGUAUAGGUGCUUCCGUCACUCUUUCAAGAAUCGAAACUUUUCUGAAGCAAAGUAUGGAAAAAAUACCAGAGUAUAAAUGCAAAACGUUUGCUGCUAUCGUUGAAAUGUUGCAUUGGUUUGCUGGAAAUCAAAUUAGAAACGUUGCUGGAAUAGGUGGUAACGUUGUAACAGGAAGCCCUAUUUCGGAUCUGAACCCGAUUCUGAUGGCUGCAAAGUCUACCUUGACGUUUGCUGCAACAGACGGAACAUUUCGUUCUAUUCCCAUGGAUGAGCACUUUUAUACUGGCUAUCGGAAGAAUGCAAUGUUGCCAAAUGAGGUUCUGCUGUCAAUACAUGUUCCGUUUACUAGACAGACUGAAUAUUUCAAAGCAUAUAAGCAAGCCCAUCGACGAGAUGAUGAUAUUGCAAUUGCCAACGCUGCAUUCAGAGUAAAUAUCGAGUCUGGUGUCGUUAAAGACUGCUCUAUGGCAAUUGGCGGUAUGGCACCGACGACAAAACUCGCAGUGAAGACUGUGAAUUUUAUGGUUAAAAGGUCAUGGAACCAAUUUCUACUCGAGGAGGUUAGCUCUCUCCUUGCCGACGAGAUGUCCCUGCCACCUGACGCACCCGGAGGGAUGGUUGAGUACAGACAGUCACUCGUACUCAGUUUCUUCUUCAAAUUCUACUUGGAUGUAUCCCAGCAAAUAGUGGAAUUCGAUAAUGGUUGCAGUAUUCCGGUCUCUGCAACCUCGGCCACAGCCCCUUUUAACAGGCCUGAAUCUAAAAGUACACACAUAUUCCAGGAGGUCAGUGAUGAACAGUCACUUGGAGAUAUUGUUGGUCGUCCAAUAGUCCAUUCGUCGGCCUACAAACAGGCAACAGGAGAGGCUGUCUACGUCGACGAUAUGGUUCCGCUUGAAAAUGAGUUGUACAUAGCAUUUAUCUACAGUACCAAGGCGCAUGCAGAGAUAAAAUCGGUCGAUCCAAGCAAGGCUCUGUCAGUAGAAGGCGUUCACACGUACGUGGAUCACCGUGACGUGCCUGGAAAUAACGAUAUAGGAUCUGCAGCAAUGAUAGACGAAGAACUUUUUGCAACAAAAUUGGUGAGGUGUGUUGGACAAGUUAUCGGAGGAAUCGUCGCUGAUAACCAAGAUAUUGCACAAAGAGCAGCGAAACUUGUUAAGAUUGAAUAUGAAGAAUUUGAGCCAAUCGUUACCAUUGAAGAUGCUAUAGCCAAAAGCAGUUUCCUAUCCACACCGCAAUGUAUUGAAAAUGGUAACAUAAAGGAAGGAUUUAGGAAUUCAGAUAAUGUUAUCGAAGGAGAAAUGAGAGUGGGAGAACAAGAGCAUUUUUAUCUUGAAACAAAUGCUUGCAGAGCAAUACCUGUCGAAGACGGCGGAAUGGAAAUAUUAUCCUCCACUCAAAAUCCAAGCCUGGCGCAGUCGCUGGUGGCAAGAGUUCUUGGACUACAAAAACACAGGGUAACAUGUCGUGUGAAAAGACUAGGAGGGGGAUUCGGUGGAAAAGAGACCAGAUCUGACGUAUUUUCUUCAGCAAUUGCAGUUGCAGCAAACAAAGUGAAACGACCAGUCCGAUGUAUGCUUGACCGUGAUGAGGACAUGUCCACUACGGGAACCAGACAUGCUUUUCUGGGACGUUACAAGGUUGGUUUUACUAAUGAUGGCAAGGUACAAGCACUGGAAAUUGAUAUGUACAGCAAUUGCGGAUAUUCAAUGGACCUUUCUUUCUCGAUAAUGGAGCGUGCACUUUUCCAUAUGGACAACGCCUACAAAAUUAGCAACAUUAAAGGGACUGGUUAUCUAUGUAAGACAAACAUUCCUUCAAAUACAGCAUUCAGAGGAUUUGGAGGCCCUCAAGGAAUGAUGAUUGUUGAGAACUGGAUAGGAGAUGUUGCAAUAGCUUGUGGGAUAUCACAAAAAAUGGUUCGAGAAAUCAACAUGUACAAAGAGGGUGAUUUAACACAUUUUAACCAGAAACUUGUGGAUUUCAACUUAAAAAGAUGUUGGGACGAAUGUCUUAAAAGUAGUGAAUAUGACAAAAGGCGAAUCGAAGUCGAGAAAUUUAAUAAGGCGAACCGCUGGAAAAAGAGAGGAAUUUGUGCAGUUCCAACCAAAUUUGGAAUUGCUUUUACAGCGUUAUUUAUGAACCAGGCUGGGGCAUUAGUAUUGGUGUAUACAGACGGGAGUGUACUCCUGACCCACGGUGGGGUUGAAAUGGGGCAAGGUUUACACACUAAGAUGAUUCAAGUCGCUAGUCAGACGCUUGGGAUUUCUUCAGAGAAAAUAUACAUUAAUGAGACAUCAACAAAUACUGUUCCAAACACCUCACCGUCUGCUGCAAGUGCAAGUUCAGAUCUGUAUGGAAUGGCAAUCAAAAAUGCGUGCGAGAAGAUCCUCGAACGUAUCAAAACGUACGCCAUUGCAAAGCCAAACGCAUCAUGGGAAGAUUGGGUAAAGGCUGCCUAUUUCGACAGAGUCAGUCUUUCAGCAACCGGAUUUUACAAGACGCCUGGUAUUGGCUAUAAUUGGGACACUAACUCUGGCUCACCAUUUAAUUACUUCACAUUCGGCGUGGCAGUGUCUGAAGUUGAGGUCGAUUGUCUUACUGGUGAUCACGUGGUUCUCCGGACUGACAUUGUCAUGGAUGUUGGGGACAGCAUCAACCCUGCAAUUGAUAUCGGACAGAUCGAAGGCGGUUUUAUUCAGGGUUAUGGGUUAUUCACCCUCGAAGAACACCGUUGGAGUCCUUCUGGACAGCUACUGACCAAAGGUCCAGGAUUUUACAAGAUACCAGGCUUCACUGAUAUUCCAGUUGAGUUCAACGUUAGCCUUCUAUCCGGUGUACCUAACAAAAGAGCUGUUUGUUCUUCCAAGGCAAUCGGUGAGCCACCUCUUUUCUUGGCAUCUUCUGUAUUUUACGCCAUCAAAGACGCUAUCCUUUCGGCAAGACACGAUGCUGGCACCGAGGGAAUCUUCCGUUUAGACAGUCCAGCAACUGCUGAGCGAAUCCGAAUGGCUUGCGCGGAUCAAUUCACUGCAAAGUUUCCAUCGGCUGUACCGGGAACCUUCAGACCCUUCUUUGUCAGAUCGUAACUUUCCGAAGCGAGUGACAGAAUAUAUGCAAUUGUCGUAUUAUGAAAUUGUAAAAAAGAAAUAGAUUAUUUAGUUUAGGUCAGAUCCUGGAUAAUUUGUUGAUGCACUGAUAACAUUCGGGUUCUCAACCACGGGUUAAGAACCCGGUAAGAGGUAAGCCAUCCUUGGCCAGUAAGUAGCUCAGGAAUAUUUAUGCAAAUGUGAAAUACCCUAUUUACGACUGAUUUAUGACACUUUAAUGCAUAAUGCAGUGCACAUUUAUCUAUGUAUGGUUUAGCCCUUUUGACAAAUGUAGGCGGGGGGGGGGGGUGCCAGGCCGGCUCACCCUGAAACCCCCUAUUAAUACAUUUAAUGUAAUUAGGUAACCUUAUAUAUAUAUUGUUGUUUUCUCUUCAACUGGAAAUAUAUUGCUUUGUAUAAUUUUCUUAUCAAUUAUAUAUCCACUUAUAAUUAUGUGACUGUAUUGAUAUGCGCAUUAGUAAAAUACAUGUAAUGUAAUUAGGUGCACCUGAUACAAUUUGUUGUUAGCAAAAGCAAAUGGAAAUACAUUGUUUUGUAUAAUUUCAAUAUCAUAUAUAUAUAUAUAUAUAAAUAUAUAUAUAUAUAUAAUAUGUAAUAUAA
RNAcentral lists this unclassified non-coding RNA (4121 nucleotides) under Anneissia japonica. RNAcentral describes it as "xanthine dehydrogenase/oxidase-like, transcript variant X2". The record is from RNAcentral. Lineage: Eukaryota; Metazoa; Echinodermata; Crinoidea; Comatulida; Comatulidae.